Molecule: unclassified non-coding RNA, 235 nt
Filed under: Hevea brasiliensis (rubber tree)
Lineage: Eukaryota; Viridiplantae; Streptophyta; Magnoliopsida; Malpighiales; Euphorbiaceae
Source: RNAcentral
GUGUCAGGCAGAGCAAGUGUAGCUGCAUUGAAAUUUUCAUCUUCAUUGUUUGCCAGGUUAAAGAAAAAGGAAAAGGACAAUUUAUCAAUCAAAAUAAGUGUACCAUGCAUCUGAAGUUGUAUGCAACUGCACAGAUUACAACUUAUACCAGCAUUAGUUAAGACAAAAUGUUGGAAUUGAUGAAAUUCCAUCUUCCAUUUUUAGGGGGAGCGUUAUGGAAAGUCAAUAUUUGUAU